RNAcentral lists this ribosomal RNA (1532 nucleotides) under metagenome. RNAcentral describes it as "bacterial LSU rRNA". It matches the Rfam family "Bacterial large subunit ribosomal RNA", at positions 1417 to 2925 of the family's 2925-position model. The record is from RNAcentral.
UAUGGAAAACAGGUCAAUAUUCCUGUGCCCGGUGUGACUGCGAUGGGGUGACGGAGAAGGCUAGGUCAGCGGGAACUGGUUUCCCGUUUAAGCAUGUAGGAGGAGUUGCCAGGUAAAUCCGGUGACUCAUUCAACUCCAAGGUGUGAUGACGAGGUCCUACUGGACCGAAGUGACUAACGCCCCGCUUCCAGGAAAAGCCUCUAAGCUUCAGGUCACAUUGGACCGUACCGCAAACCGACACUGGUGGGCGAGCAGAUAAUCUGCCAAGGCGCUUGACAGAACUCGGGUUAAGGAACUCUGCAAAUUGAUACCGUAACUUCGGAAGAAGGUAUGCCUUCGACGGUGUAGGGAUUUACUCCCGAAGCUGUUGAAGGUCGCAGGUAAUCGGUGGCUGCAACUGUUUAUCAAAAACACAGGACUCUGCGAACACGCAAGUGGAUGUAUAGGGUCUGACUCCUGCCCGGUGCCGGAAGGUUAAUUGAUGGGGUCAGCCGCAAGGCGAAGCUCUUGAUCGAAGCCCCGGUAAACGGCGGCCGUAACUAUAACGGUCCUAAGGUAGCGAAAUUCCUUGUCGGGUAAGUUCCGACCUGCACGAAUGGAGUAAUGAUAGCCACACUGUCUCGACCCGAGACUCAGUGAAGUUGAAAUCGCUGUGAAGAUGCGGCGUUCCCGCGGCAAGACGGAAAGACCCCGUGAACCUUCACUACAGCUUUACACUGAACUUUGAACCUUUUUGUGUAGGAUAGGUGGGAGGCUAUGAAACUUGGGCGCUAGCUCAGGUGGAGCCAACCUUGAAAUACCACCCUGAAAUGUUCGGAGUUCUAACCUUGUCCCGUAAUCCGGGAUGGGGACAGUGUAUGGUGGGUAGUUUGACUGGGGCGGUCUCCUCCCAAAGAGUAACGGAGGAGUGCAAAGGUACGCUCAGCGCGGUCGGUCAUCGCGCUCUAGAGUGCAAAGGCAUAAGCGUGCUUAACUGCGAGACGGACAUGUCGAGCAGGUACGAAAGUAGGUCUUAGUGAUCCGGUGGUUCUGUAUGGAAGGGCCAUCGCUCAACGGAUAAAAGGUACUCCGGGGAUAACAGGCUUAUUCCUCCCAAGAGUCCACAUCGACGGAGGAGUUUGGCACCUCGAUGUCGGCUCAUCACAUCCUGGGGCUGUAGCAGGUCCCAAGGGUAUGGCUGUUCGCCAUUUAAAGUGGUACGCGAGCUGGGUUCAGAACGUCGUGAGACAGUUCGGUCCCUAUCUGCCGUGGGCGUUGGAAACUUGAGGGUGAGCUGUCCUUAGUACGAGAGGACCGGGAUGGACGUAUCUCUGGUGUUCCGGUUGUCACGCCAGUGGCACUGCCGGGUAGCUAUAUACGGACGGGAUAACCGCUGAAAGCAUCUAAGCGGGAAGCCCCCCCCAAGAUUAGGUUUCCCUGGGAACUCGAUUCCCCUGAAGGGCCGUCGCAGACUACGACGUUGAUAGGCUGGGUGUGUACAUGCAGUAAUGCAUUUAGCUAACCAGUACUAAUUGCCCGUGAGGCUUGACCG